GAUGAACGCUAGCUACAGGCUUAACACAUGCAAGUCGAGGGGAAACGGCAUCGAAAGCUUGCUUUUGAUGGGCGUCGACCGGCGCACGGGUGAGUAACGCGUAUCCAACCUGCCCAUCACUUGGGAAUAACCUUGCGAAAGUAAGACUAAUGCCCAAUGACAUCCCACGAAGGCAUCCGAAUGGGAUUAAGGAUUUAUCGGUGAUGGAUGGGGAUGCGUCUGAUUAGCUUGUUGGCGGGGUGACGGCCCACCAAGGCAACGAUCAGUAGGGGUUCUGAGAGGAAGGUCCCCCACAUUGGAACUGAGACACGGUCCAAACUCCUACGGGAGGCAGCAGUGAGGAAUAUUGGUCAAUGGGCGAGAGCCUGAACCAGCCAAGUAGCGUGCAGGAUGACGGCCCUAUGGGUUGUAAACUGCUUUUAUAAGGGAAUAAAGUGGGUCACGUGUGACUUUUUGCAUGUACCUUAUGAAUAAGGACCGGCUAAUUCCGUG
This 492-nucleotide ribosomal RNA is filed under the name uncultured bacterium. RNAcentral's name for it is "partial 16S ribosomal RNA". It matches the Rfam family "Bacterial small subunit ribosomal RNA", at positions 28 to 507 of the family's 1533-position model. The record is from RNAcentral.